AUUUUCCCUUUUUUCAGGGCUCUUUUAUAUAUUCUGUAGUUGAGUACAAGCCACUGAAAUUCAACCGCUGGUACGUGUACCCUACCUGGGCAUACGUGUUGGGCUGGAUGUCUGCCCUCUCCUCCAUCCUGCUGAUACCGGGCUGUGCACUUUACAAGCUCAGCACGGCCACCGGAACCUUCAGUCAGCGUCUCCAUCACCUGUGCCGGCCAGAGCCGUUUGACUCGGCACCGACACGAAAGAGAAACACAGCAAUGCAAGAUAUCACUGAAGAGGAUCUUGAAUGUUUCUGAUUCAUGAGCAUUUAACGUAUCAGAAACAUAUUAUAA
Hippocampus comes (tiger tail seahorse) is the source of this 329-nucleotide long non-coding RNA. RefSeq lists it as uncharacterized. The record is from RefSeq and is a predicted model, not a curated record. The transcript has 2 exons. Lineage: Eukaryota; Metazoa; Chordata; Actinopteri; Syngnathiformes; Syngnathidae.